CCUACGGGAGGCAGCAGUGGGGAAUAUUGGACAAUGGGCGCAAGCCUGAUCCAGCAAUGCCGCGUGAGUGAUGAAGGCCUUAGGGUCGUAAAGCUCUUUUACCAGGGAUGAUAAUGACAGUACCUGGAGAAUAAGCUCCGGCUAACUCCGUGCCAGCAGCCGCGGUAAUACGGAGGGAGCUAGCGUUGUUCGGAAUUACUGGGCGUAAAGCGUACGUAGGCGGUUAUUCAAGUCAGAGGUGAAAGCCCGGGGCUCAACCCCGGAACGGCCUUUGAAACUAGGUAGCUAGAAUCUUGGAGAGGUCAGUGGAAUUCCGAGUGUAGAGGUGAAAUUCGUAGAUAUUCGGAAGAACACCAGUGGCGAAGGCGACUGACUGGACAAGUAUUGACGCUGAGGUACGAAAGCGUGGGGAGCAAACAGGAUUAGAUACCCUGGUAGUCCACGCCGUAAACGAUGAUAACUAGCUGUCCGGGCACUUGGUGCCUGGGUGGCGCAGCUAACGCAUUAAGUUAUCCGCCUGGGGAGUACGGUCGCAAAGAUUAAAAACCUUAAAGGAAAUUAGACGGCUGGUGAGUUAGCGAGAGACGACGAGGAGGAGGAG
This 601-nucleotide ribosomal RNA is filed under the name uncultured bacterium. RNAcentral describes it as "bacterial SSU rRNA". It matches the Rfam family "Bacterial small subunit ribosomal RNA", at positions 338 to 952 of the family's 1533-position model. The record is from RNAcentral.